GGCAAGAUGGCCGAGCGGUCUAUGGCGUGUGACUCAAGCGUUAAGCUUACCUGCAAUAGCGGGUUUCUCAUCCUCGUAUGAGGGCAGGGGUUCGAAUCCCCUUCUUGUCA
RNAcentral lists this transfer RNA (110 nucleotides) under Serpula lacrymans var. lacrymans S7.3. It matches the Rfam family "tRNA". Rfam says of the family: Transfer RNA (tRNA) molecules are approximately 80 nucleotides in length. Their secondary structure includes four short double-helical elements and three loops (D, anti-codon, and T loops). The record is from Rfam by way of RNAcentral. Lineage: Eukaryota; Fungi; Basidiomycota; Agaricomycetes; Boletales; Serpulaceae.